CUACGGGCGGCUGCAGCGAGGAAUAUUGCACAAUGGGGGGAACCCUGAUGCAGCAACGCCGCGUGGAGGAUGACGCAUUUCGGUGUGUAAACUCCUUUUAUAUGUCAAGAAAAUGACGGUAGCAUAUGAAUAAGCACCGGCUAACUCCGUGCCAGCAGCCGCGGUAAUACGGAGGGUGCAAGCGUUACUCGGAAUCACUGGGCGUAAAGGACGCGUAGGCGGGUUGGAAAGUCAGGUGUGAAAUCCUACAGCUUAACUGUAGAACUGCACUUGAAACUUCUAAUCUAGAGUAUGGGAGGGGGAGAUGGAAUUAGUGGUGUAGGGGUAAAAUCCGUAGAUAUCACUAGGAAAACCUAAAGCGAAGGCGAUCUCCUGGAACAUUACUGACGCUAAGGCGUAAAAGCGUGGGGAGCAAACAGGAUUAGAUACCCCCGUAGUC
Molecule: ribosomal RNA, 439 nt
Filed under: uncultured bacterium
Lineage: Bacteria
Description: partial 16S ribosomal RNA
Rfam family: Bacterial small subunit ribosomal RNA
Source: RNAcentral